CUUGUUUUAGAGAGAGAGAUAUCUAUGAGACAAAACGGAGAGUUCACAAAGUGUAGCAGCUAUGACAUGGAUAAACAUGAACCAAUUACUACUAUUCUCAGCAAUUUUUCGACUCAUUUUGAUAAUUUAUGGAGAAUGGCAAGAUACCCAUAUGGAAGUUAGAUAUACAGAUGUGGAUUACCUUGUCUUUUCUGAUGCUGCCUCGUUAAUGGCUUCCGGAGAAUCCCCUUACAAAAGAAGUACUUACCGGUAUUCACCUUUGCUCGCUUUUCUGCUCAUAC
Molecule: unclassified non-coding RNA, 281 nt
Filed under: Hevea brasiliensis (rubber tree)
Lineage: Eukaryota; Viridiplantae; Streptophyta; Magnoliopsida; Malpighiales; Euphorbiaceae
Source: RNAcentral